This 273-nucleotide ribosomal RNA is filed under the name uncultured bacterium. RNAcentral's name for it is "partial 16S ribosomal RNA". It matches the Rfam family "Bacterial small subunit ribosomal RNA", at positions 524 to 796 of the family's 1533-position model. The record is from RNAcentral.
UACGGAGGGUGCGAGCGUUGUUCGGAAUCACUGGGCGUAAAGCGCGUGUAGGCGGUCUCCUAAGUCCGAUGUGAAAGCCCGGGGCUCACCCCCGGAAGUGCAUCGGAUACUGGGAAACUAGAGUACCGGAGAGGAGGGUGGAAUUCCUGGUGUAGCGGUGAAAUGCGUAGAUAUCAGGAGGAACACCGGUGGCGAAGGCGGCCCUCUGGACGGAUACUGACGCUGAGACGCGAAAGCGUGGGGAGCAAACAGGAUUAGAAACCCCCGUAGUCC